CAAUAUAAAAUUUCAUUCAAAAUUUUCCGUCUUUUAAAAAUUUCAUUUUUUCAUACUAUUUUUAAAAUCAUAAGAGCUUGGGUGGAUUUACUUUAUUCUCAGUUAAAUAUUGUGGAUUAUAUUAUUAUUCAUUGAAUAUCAAUUUUAAUGGUGAACAACCAAUUUAAGUGUUAAACAAGUACAUGCAAACUUUGGCAAACCACAAAAAUCAAAAAUGUCCACAAUCCACAAAAAUUGAUACCCGUGAAAGUAAAAGAAUCCACAUUAUGCAUGGUGGGAGAAAACGACACAUACAUAUCCUGCCCAUUAUGGAAUGACCAUGUCAUUUCUACUCUUACAUAAUAAGAAUUGUACAAACAAUGCCUUGGAAAAACAUGUAGGCCUUUCAAUUCUAUAUUUGUUACAUAAAUCCCCAAACAAUUAAAUUAUGUCAUUAUAAUCUACAUAUUAAAAAUGUUUGAGCAAAAAAAAAUCAACAUACAUACUGAUAAUAAAGAAAUUAUUGGUGUUGUAGCCAAUUCUAGUCCACUUGACAGUGAUUUAAUUUCAUGAUUUUCAAUAUUUUGUGAUUUAUGAUCGUAUAAAUAGGAGCAAGAACAUAUCAAUUAAGUGAAUAAUAAGCAUAAUGAGUAAAAUUUAGGAGAUCUAAAAAAAAAAAAAGUGCUUUUCUUAAACCACUGUGGUAUUACUGAUAGACGAAAGUCAACAGGAUAAAUUAAGGCACUUUAAAUAAACUUUAGCGAAGGCAAGAUAAUAGAUUCCUCGAGUUUGAGAAUACACAUAAAAAAAAUAAGGCUUUCAAUUAGUAACUUGUGCCGAUUUUGCUUCACAAAAGGAGCUGUACACAUGUUCCUGUGGAGGUAGUUAAAAUUUAUUUGAUUGAUUGAUUGCUCAAUGCCCAUUGGCAAAUAUUUCAUGCAUGUUCAGCACGAAGAAUUUAUUUGAAAAAUACCUAUAUGGUUUGAAUAUUCAUACGGUCAUUAAAAAUUAAAUGAGUAUAAAACUCAUAGAGCCAUCCAUACCCAUAUGGUCAGGGUCCAAAUAAUAGUCAGAAACAUAUCCAUUGGAUAUAAUGUUGUUUCAUGUUCAGUGAACCACAACAUCUAGGACAGAUACUUGUUUGGCAUGUCUUACAGACAAAAAGUUCACACCUGAAUGAAACAACAAUGAUACACGACAUAUGAACUGACAAAGAGAAUCACAAACCUUACAGAAACAAAAUGCCCCCUACUAAUAUAGUCGGCCAAGCCGUUAAAUUUUGUAUCAAUAAUUAUGAAUUUUAUAGAAUAAUAAACAAGAAUGUGUCCCAAGUACAUGGAUACCCCGUCCACACUAUCAUUUUCUAUGUUUAGUGGACCGUGAAAAUGAGAGAUCAUAUCAUAGGGAACAUGUUUAUUAAGUUUCAAGUUGAUUGGACUUCAACUUCAUCAAAAACUACCUCGACCAAAAACUUGAACCUGAAGUGGGACAAACGGACGCACAGACCAGAAAACAUAAUGCCUAUAAAUGGGGCAUAACAACACAAAAUACUUUAUAAAAAAAUACCAAGGCACAUCAUUAUUGAUUGUCAUUAAUAAAACAUGAUUUGAAACAUUAUAGCCUGGGUUAUCUACCUUUGAAAUACUUAAACAAUAAUACAUAUAUUAUAUAGACAAUAAUAUAAACAUUG
This 1669-nucleotide long non-coding RNA is filed under the name Mytilus galloprovincialis (Mediterranean mussel). The record is from RNAcentral. Lineage: Eukaryota; Metazoa; Mollusca; Bivalvia; Mytilida; Mytilidae.